CUUAGCGAUGUGGACAGGAGUCGAAGGACUAGAAUGAGAUCACUGAACUCAUUUCACUUGUUGCUUACGGUACAGUCCAGCAUGAGCUGGAAAUGUAGGAACCUCAGCCUCCCGAGCAGAAAGAUUCAACCAGAUCAGUACCAAAAGACUAUAUGCUAGCAGAAAUCUCAAGACCAUUCCAAGCUUUGUCUUCACCUGGAGGCAGUCUCAGAGAUCCCAAGGUUCCGUGACCAUCAGUCUGUGGCCUGCCCCUUCUCUUUAUUCUCUUGUGCCCUACCACCACUUCUCUGCGGAUUACGCCUUCGAGUUACCCUACCUUUACCAAAUUUCCGAUGCCUCAGAUUAUGAGACCAUGGGUCUUUGCCAAUUAGUAAACCUUCACCACUAA
RNAcentral lists this long non-coding RNA (388 nucleotides) under Zalophus californianus (California sea lion). RNAcentral's name for it is "lncRNA (ENSZCAG00015004113.1)". The record is from RNAcentral. Lineage: Eukaryota; Metazoa; Chordata; Mammalia; Carnivora; Otariidae.